Gossypium arboreum is the source of this 222-nucleotide long non-coding RNA. RefSeq lists it as uncharacterized. The record is from RefSeq and is a predicted model, not a curated record. NCBI's taxonomy places the organism in Eukaryota, Viridiplantae, Streptophyta, Magnoliopsida, Malvales, Malvaceae. The transcript has 2 exons.
UAGUAGCCCCGUCCUAUUUUACGACGUUCGAGAUUUUGGAAAAUCAAGUUACAAGCUCAGGGAUCGUCUACGAAGCUCAUCACACAAUCCACUAUUUUGGGUACUUUUAUAAGUUGAAUUAGAAAUUAUGGCAUGUAUAAGCUAAAGCAUGUUUUGGAAAUGUUAAUUUGGGGGUUGUAUAUAAAGCCCUGAAAAAAAUGGCUAAGUAAUUAUCCUUAAAAA